CUCUGAUCCUUCAAGAGGAACUGACCCAUCCCUACCUUCAGGCUAGUGAGCCUCAGCGGUUUGACACCCAUUGACAAACUCCUGCCAUGGGUGGUUGUCUCCAUGCCUUUUGGUUUCUUCUCCUAUGUCCUGCUGUAGUUCAUGUCUCAAGCCUUCAGUGUUCCCUGGUACCUCACAUCAAGCUGCCUGUUUGAGACCCUCAUGACAUCCAGCCUGUUAUCUACUCUUCCUUCACACACAUGUAUUAAUGUGCCUUCCUUUUCGCUGAGCAUGAGACACUCUGCCACAGCCUACAGAAUGAGUGUGGAGCUGGUGGCCUCUGUGAUUCAGGGUCAGGUUGUGGCUGUAUUCUACACAGAGAAGGCUGGGGCAUGUCAGCAGUUGGACCAGAGCCAGGAGCUGCCUCACAACACCCCUUCAUCACAAAUCGUUACUACAGACCAUGGUACUACUUCCCCUCUGAGACACAUUGCAAGUGAAUGUUUCCCCGUCUCAAACCCUAGCCUAACCCAGCACUGAAGUACAUACCGCUCUCCUACUAUGUUGGUUUAGCAGCAUUUCUUUGUCUGUGGAAAUGAACUUACCUAUAAUGCCAGGGAUAUCAUAUUACACUAAUUAACUGUCCUUAGCACAACAAAGGCCAUUCGUGUGUGUGCAUGUGGGAGCAUGCAUUUCAAGGACGUGAGUUUGUCUUGUUUGUUUACCCAUAGGCCUGUGCGUUUUAUGCAUACAUGUGAAGGACUUGUGUUUGUGUAGCCUUGUUUAUCUGUGAGGUUUUGUGUAUUUUUCCCCUGUUGUAAGGUUUUCCUGACCUCAGUGCUAGUCAUGGGUGGGCUGUUCUUCCUCUGCUGCCUUGUCCUCUUCCUGGGGGUGAAAGAGCUGCGGAGUGAGUCAAUGGUCAGAACAAUGGAGUUAGGGUUAGUGUGGUCAGUUUAGAACUGCUAGAGCAAAGCACAUGGGAGGUCAAGGUUCAGUAGAACGUGUUAAAGAGUCUAGAGCUGGGAGGUGACUAAAUAAUGGAUAGGCUUGGAACUAAAGUAACUUAUGACAUGUCAGACAUUUCUUCAGUUUUCUACAAUACCAAACACCUCUCUCUGAUUUUUGUCUCCAGCUCCCCUCUAGUGUGGAUAGUGUGUGUCCUAUCUCUCCACUCUAAAGAUGCUAGUGUGCCAUGUUCCUUGCCAACGACUGGGCCUUGGCUUUCUCUUUGCUGCACUUGCCUUCUGGAUAAAUCCUUGCCUGGACUGCAUCCAAAUAGAUCAACAAAAAAUGACAAUCUUGAGUCAACUAAUGCACAUUUGUCCCUUAGAUGUCCCUUAAACGUCACACAUAGUUGUAUCACACACCCUCUUGGCCUCAAAAGGACGGUCUGAUUGGCUCAACACACAGAUGACAGAACACAAUUCUUAUCCAAUCUGGCAUAUCAUACUCUUUAUGAUUUUAUAUAUUUGUGUAGCUGGUAUUCGUCUCUGGAAGCUAACCACUUAUUCCUUAUUAAAGGGCAAAAACUAUAGCCACGAGACAUUCUCUUGUUAGGACAAACAACCAUCCCAGAUAUUAAACACUAACAGAUUGCAGCAACUACAGCUGUUUCACUGUUACAGCCAUCUCUGGUACGGGCUUGGAAAUAGAUUACAAUCUCCAUUGGUUUGUGAGCACAACAUUGUUUCUCCCUUUAUGACAAGUUUAUGCUUACAGUAAUAAUAGUUUUUUUUCUUCGUAUUUACUGCCAGUCUUCGUGGCCGUGUGUGAUGCUAGGAUUCAGCUUGGCAACCGUGUUCCUGCUGCCUUGGCGAGUCUGCAGUUAGAAGGCCACGACUCUGGCUUAGGGUUGUCUCUGCUCUCUACUGUACUCUGCUCCAGUUCUGUCUCUGCCUCUGUCACUCUGAAUGACACUCAAAACACACAAAAUGCUGACUUGAUGAUUCAUUCAUAAACCCCCAUGACAGCCUGUCAAGUGUUGAAUAUUCUAAUAUGCUGAUUUGUCACUUGGCCAGUUUACACUUCAAUCGAUUCACCAGACAGUGCUUGUUGCAUAAUCUGCGUUUGGUCUGAUUUGCGAACCAGUCUCUUAUUAUUCAUGUAGGUCCAUCUACCAAACGUGGUAGAUGACUUCACUGUGAAAAAAAACCUGCUGCAAGGACCUGGAGCAACUUUUUUUCUACUGCUACGCCUUCUGCAGUAAGCUAGGGGAGGCCUGUCUGUUGGAAUCUCAACCAUGACUAACAUUGAGUCAUACAUCCACCUACUCCUCCUCUCCAUUUCUCUCCUCCUUAUUAUGUCAAAUCUGAUUUCAUGUUUCUAUCACCAUAUCUCAAUUUAUGUUGUGUUCAUGCAUGCGUGUAUCAUUUGUUUGUAUGCUUGUUUGUACUGCAGCUUUGUGGGGUACACUAUAAAAAAGGGUUCCAAAAAGGUUCUUCAACUGUCCCCAUAGGAAAAAACAUUUUGGUUCCAGGUACAACCCUUUUUGGUUUCCAGUAGAACCCUUUUGGGGAAAGGGUUCUUCCUGGAACCCAAAGGGGUUCUACCUGGAACCAGAAAGGGUCCUUCAAAGGGUUCUCUUAGGGGGACAGCCAAAGAACCAUUUAUAGGUUAAAGAGUGUACUGUGCAGUUGCCUGUAGACAAAGUGAGGACAUGAUGACUGCUCUGAUUGUACUGUUUGCCCCUGUGCCCAUCACCCUGCUGCUGGUAGGGCUGGUCUUCUUCCACCUGUACCCCAUCAACGAGGAAUGACGCCUCCAGCUCCAGAGAGAGCAAGGCAGAGAUGUUGAAGCCAUACAUUCAACUGAUAGAGGAGAUGGGCUCAACACGCAGUCGUCAGUCAAGACGCCAACCACCUUUUUAUUUAUUUUAAUUUUAUUUAGCCUUUACUUAUCUAGGCAAGUCAGUUAAGAACAAAUUCUUAUUUACAAUGCCAGCCAAACCUGAACGACGCUGGGCCAAUUGUGGGACGCCCAAUCACGGCCGGAUGUGAUAGACUGGAUUCGCACCAGAGGCUGUAAAAUAUAUUUUGAUUUUGGUUACUACAUGAUUACAUAGGUUUUAUUUCAUAGUUUUGAUGUCUUCACUAUUAUUCUACAAUGUAGCAAAUAGUACAAAUAAAGAGAAAUCCUUGAAUGCCCUCCAUA
This is a long non-coding RNA of Oncorhynchus tshawytscha (Chinook salmon), 3129 nucleotides long. NCBI's taxonomy places the organism in Eukaryota, Metazoa, Chordata, Actinopteri, Salmoniformes, Salmonidae. The record is from Ensembl.